This 88-nucleotide transfer RNA is filed under the name Dethiobacter sp. Its description in RNAcentral is "tRNA-Leu". It matches the Rfam family "tRNA". From Rfam's summary of the family: Transfer RNA (tRNA) molecules are approximately 80 nucleotides in length. Their secondary structure includes four short double-helical elements and three loops (D, anti-codon, and T loops). Lineage: Bacteria; Bacillati; Bacillota; Dethiobacteria; Dethiobacterales; Dethiobacteraceae. The record is from RNAcentral.
GCCGGAGUGGCGGAACAGGCAGACGCAAGGGACUUAAAAUCCCUCGGGCUUUUAGCCCGUACCGGUUCGACCCCGGUCUUCGGCACCA